AUCUUGAUGUAGUCAUUGUGUGCAAUGAAUAUGGGACCAAAUACUAAACAUUUGACAACUUUAACCCACUAAGUGAUAUGUGUCCAAAUACUUAAAAUCUUCAAAUGGGGAGGGGGGGGGAACUAGACAUAUAUAAAGUGCUUUCAUUCCUAAACGGUAAAUCAGACAAUUCUGAAAAUACCAUGAAUUAAAAGGUGACAUUCUGUACUGUAUUCUGUACUGUAACUGUAGAAAAAGCCCAUGGAGUUGGUGGAAUAAUCCUUUAAUUCACUGCCAUUUACUCAGCUGGGCCAGGGGCGCUUUAAUUAGGUCAGGUGGAAAUAUCCGACAGAUCUCCACUCCAUAAAAGGAGUAAAUCACCAUCGCCUGAUCGCGCUGCUUUCUCUUCCUUCACUCUGUGCGUCCAUGAAUCCACCAAUACUUCAUCGAGAAACGAACAUCCUCCUAGCUGACUUAGAAGACACGGAGUGUGCAAAUCCGGCUCUGCCUGGUGCAUCACACAGUUGGAGUGUGAGGAAGGAACUCUCACAGGAUAGGUGAAGGGAGUCCAGGCCUGAGAUCGUAGAUUCUCUGCUGGCUGCAGAGCAUGCUUCUCAGAAAAUAUGUUAGUCAUACAAUUUGAACAGGGCUAUUCUGCGAUGUAGAGACUGUCUGCCGAAACAGCUUUACCCUCGAGGACUGCGAUGUCUCUACACAUGCAACGUUCCCCUUGCACAACAGAGAGUCCAUGAUUGAGGGAUUCUACCUGCCCCUUCCUCCAACUACAGCCAUAUCUCUCCACAGUCAUGAUUGUUUCUUACCAUUGGACGUACCAGAGGUGAUAUGUGGUUGCCUGACUAGCACCAUCCAUGUUGGCCCUGGGAAACAUAUCAUCCUUGUGGGAAUAAAUGGUCGCUACAAUGUCACAGUGCCUGUGCUGACCUGCACAACCUGUCUUAUCACCUGGACAGCAAACUUGGCAGAUCUGAUAAAGAAUGGGUACUGGCCUGCCACUGUCAACUGUGACACCAUAUAACUGGUAGAUCUGUUCAGCUCUUGAGGAGCUGAAAGUGUUAGCCCCAGGAAUGUCUGUCUGGUGUUUGUGUGGGUUUUGGAGCAGCAAACUGACUUCUUUGGCAGGGUAACAAUAAAUUAUACUCAGCUUUACCAAUGUAUGACUACAAGUUAACUAUGUUACAUUUUGUUUCAACACUUUGUAAUAUAACUUUAUUUCCAGUACUACAACUGUUAACUUCAGGUCUCUUGCUGCAGUAUGUUAGCCUCCUGCACCACUGUCCUGCCAUGCCCCUUAUCUGUGCCCCUCUUGCAUCCAAUAUUUCCUGUUUUUUACAGCAUAAGUACUCAUCCUACUUUUGCAUUUGCUUUCACCUGCUUUGCUGGCAAUGCUAUGCACUGGCCCUGCUUUAACUCAAAUCCAGUCAGCCAUAGUGAAUUAUAAUAUGUUUUGUUUAUAGUGUUGUUGUACGUUAUUUCAUGUCUUUCCCAUAUGUAUUUUUCCUUACAAGAACGGAAUGUUCUGUGGGGACACUUUUUAAAAAAGCUUCUUUGAGUGGACGUACUGCCGCUCUGAAAAUGAUCAGGUCUGUGAUAUACAGUACUUUGACUGCCCAGCCUGUUCACCCAGCAUGCUUGCAGUGUCAGUGGAUGGGAACAAGAAACUGUAUCGAUUCAAAAAAGGGGCUGAUGACAAAGGAUUCUUUGAUGGUGUAUUUAUCUGCAAGGAUGAGGAUGUCUGACUUUGAACAAUGUCCACACAAAGACUAAACAUGUACUGUGGAUCUUCUAAUCUGUGAAAUAGGACUGGUCUUGGGCCAUCUGACUCAAAGGCAGACUAGUUAUACACUAUUCCAAUAAAAAACCCACUUUGGAGAGAUGGUAAUCCUCUCUCUUCAAGUCCAGGGUCGUUACACCACUCCCUCUGUUCAGAAAUGCAACACACUUUACAAGUGCAUCUUUUUGACAGUCUCCAACUUCUGAUCUCCUUUGUAGCGAACACAGGGGGUAGCUCAGCGCCCUCAGCUAGGUUUUAAAAACCUAACCACUGUCACGUUAACACCCCCCCCCAAUUAUUUUUUUCAUUUUUCGACCUAUACUCUUCUACUUGUCUAGGGUUAUGGAAUAGGGUUAUGGAAAAGGGCUAUGUGGAGCAUCCCAGUGCACAGCAGCUAAAGAGUCAAGGAAAACAAACGACAAACUUGAUGAAGAGGGACUCGAAGUUGCCGUCUGCCGCCACGGAAUACUUCUGAGGAGCCUCAACAUGAUGCGUGGAGAUAUUUGCAUACCCACUGUUCUUGCAGAAGGAAUUGUCUGGCAGCAGGAACAAACAAUUCAUGUGUACGGAUGUGAUCUGCAAAUUUUGUCCAUACCUAACCAAAGUUUGCCUUCAUUGUCCAGAGCUCGCCACUCUUCUAGACAUGAAGCCACUUCUUUCCGUCAUGCAUGCAAAGGCACAUCGUUUGAAAUGCGAGAUUAAGUGGGGAGGACGGAAUCAGGAAGGAGCUGGCACAACUCUGGGGAAGGAAGUGGAACAAUGGAACAGUUUCUUGUCGAGGGCUGGAAUCUGUUCCAAGAAAAUGUCCAAAGGAGCAAGAACCGACAUGCUAACCAUCCAGGCCGUGGGACAGAAGGAAGAACAACCUGCACAGAGCAUUGUUCCCAAGAUAUUUGAAGACAACAGCAAAAAUCAACAGGAGGAGACCUAGACUCAAAUGUUUAAGAGUGAUUUGGGUGUAGGCGAUGAGACUCUGGACAACGGAAGUUCAGCAAUGGGCUAAUAGAGAGGAAACAGCUUAGAACAUGGAUGGUCCCCAGGUACUACAGAGAACAAUUGAAGUCCUCUUACUUAGCAUCAAACAAAGGAAACAGAACCUCUUCCUUCAGACAGAUGGAUGCAAGAAAAGACACCCUCUGCGCAGAAAGAUAUUGGAAGAAAAGACCAAAUUGACAGCUGCCAUAGAGGAGUACAACACCCUUGUACUAGGUUCAGCAAUACCAUCUGCAGAUGAGAUCCUUUCCGCAGACCUUCAUGCAUGGCCUUGGGAGCUGCAUGGACAAACUGACUUACUCAAAGAAAAUGGCCUUUGACCAGGUGAUGCUCCUGAGAUGGCUGAAGGAGGAGGAGUUAAUUGUCCUAAAGGAAGUCAAGCAGCACUGGGAAAGCCUAAAGAGGGAAUCGGAGAAUGUGCAAGACUUUGCUUCACAUGUGGCACUUGACCUAAGCAGGCAAAGCUGGCAAUUGAAUCAGUCGGAAGCUGGGAGCAGAGGUCUCUUCUCCAUGCUUCAGAGGAGAGUCAGCAGCCUCCGAAGACACCAGGACUCUGUCAAACUGAUAUACAGCAAAGCUAUGGGCCAAGACACCUCCCUCCUAGAGACGACCUCCUGGAAGAGGACAUCUACGACAGCAUCCACUACAGCUCUGAUGACGAGGAAUCUCUCACAGACUGAAGGUGUUCGUUUGGGUGGGCGCAGUUUGCACUGGGUGAAAAGUGAUUCCAUUCGUUUUGCAUAUGUGCUUCAUCUGCCUUCCUAAGGAAAAAUAGUUUGAACAUUUUAUGGAAAAUAAACUUUUAUGUUUCUUCCUUGUUGACAAUGUGAUCAAGUGGCACAUACUUGAGAAGGGCGCUCAUCUGUUACUGCUUUUGCCCGGUUACAUGACCAGGUCAGAUGCACCCCUUUAAAUGGCCAGUCUGCAGUUGCUACAUCCACUUUUGGAUUCUUGAAG
This 3721-nucleotide long non-coding RNA is filed under the name Salmo salar (Atlantic salmon). RNAcentral describes it as "lncRNA (ENSSSAG00000108917.1, ENSSSAG00000119440.1)". Lineage: Eukaryota; Metazoa; Chordata; Actinopteri; Salmoniformes; Salmonidae. The record is from RNAcentral.